This 253-nucleotide ribosomal RNA is filed under the name uncultured bacterium. RNAcentral's name for it is "partial 16S ribosomal RNA". It matches the Rfam family "Bacterial small subunit ribosomal RNA", at positions 524 to 776 of the family's 1533-position model. The record is from RNAcentral.
UACGUAGGGUGCAGGCGUUAAUCGGAAUUACUGGGCGUAAAGCGUGCGCAGGCGGUUUCUUAAGUCAGAUGUGAAAGCCCCGGGCUUAACCUGGGAACUGCGUUUGAAACUGGGAGACUUGAGUGUGGCAGAGGGGGGUGGAAUUCCACGUGUAGCAGUGAAAUGCGUAGAUAUGUGGAGGAACACCGAUGGCGAAGGCAGCCUCCUGGGCCAGCACUGACGCUCAUGCACGAAAGCGUGGGGAGCAAACAGG